ACACACACAAAAAAAAAAAAAAAAAAAGAACUAAAAAAAAACACGCAAAAAAUAGGAGACCUUGCCCGGCUUCUUCUUCAUUCUAUGAUUCAACCACCAAACACACACGCCCAUAAAAUACACAAAUAUUCCGAAAUACUCAACAAUAAAAUCGAUUUCCGAUUUGAAAUACAGAGACUGAUCUCUAGAAGAUCGAAGUCAUUCUAACCGAAGAAACACCUCACAUGGAAGAAGCUAAAAACGACAUAUCUGAGGCUUGAGCUGCGGCCCGAGGCUUUCUUAUUCUCCAUUUUUCGUUCCUACUCUCCUGGACACUCAAGGAUACACAUCUGAAAAGGCUAAGGGAAACUGUUUGAAAUUCGAAAAAUAUUAGAAGAAAAUUGGGGGAACAGAGAAUUGGAAAGCUCGACUAAUUUCUUCUGCGUUAUCUCCACAAUUUCUGGGUUUUCAGGUUUUAUUUUUGAAAAUUUGGGCGUUUAAAGGUGUCGGAAAGUUUUUCUCGGGCUGUGGAUUUUCUGUAUUUGUGGAUGUUGAUGUUGGAACCAUAUUGAGCUCUACCAGUUCUAUUUUGGCCUUUAUUCGGCCAUUUUUGGAUUAUUUCUUCGUUGUCAAGGUAUUUAUUCUUAUUACCUUCAGAUUUGAUAUUUGAAUUUCCAUGAAUUAACAUACGUUGUUUCUCUUAUGAAUUAAUAAUUGUUCCUUGAUUUGAACUCUACGAUGAAUUUAGACAAGAGGGUUGCUCUGAUGGUUAGCAACCUUCACUUUCAAUCGAGAGGUUGUGAGUUCGAGUCUUCUCAAGAGCAAGGUGAUAUUUUCUUGGAGGGAAGGAUGCCUGGGGUCUAUUUGAAAAUAUCCUCUCUACCCAAGGAUAGGGGUAAGAUCUGUGUACACACUAUCCUCCCCAAACCACACUAAGUGGAAUUAUACUGGGUUGUUGUUGUUGAUGAAUUCAGAUGUUGGAAAUGGGUCGUUUCUUUGAACUGUUGUAUAUUUGUUAUCCCAAGUUCCUAUGGGUUUGCCAUUUUGGUCAUCCUUGUAUUCCUUUUGGUGGUUGUAUUUUGUGGUGUCUGAUGAUGCUUUCUCUUCUUACUCUUUUUCACCAGUUCCAUGAAUGUUUGGCUUCUAUGUGAUUGAAAUAUAGUAUUAGUUUAUUAUUCAAGUUUUAUUUGAUUUGGUUUCUGAUUGUGUGACAACAUUAAGCAUGCUAUUGGUUUUUUUUGUAGUUCUGCUUGAAUUUUCUAAUCAUGAUCCUUAAUGCUUCAUCAGUACUAGUUUAUAUCUCAUCAGUUUUAAGGAAAAUUACUUUCCUUAAAAUUGGUAUUUCUUUCCUGAACACUAUUUCCCUCUUCUUCUUUUAACAAACUUGUAUUUGACCUUCAUGUUCUUUGAAUGGGUACCCGACUUCAAAAACGAUUUUCAAAACGGCAGAAAAUUUUCUGCCCCAGCAUUUCCUUCCGCAAUCAAUAACAUUUCCAUGCCCCUGUUUCAAAUCAAAGAACAUUUUGUCAGUUUAAGGUAUGGUGGUUGGUUGUGGUACUUCCGCUAGAGAUGGAUUUCUCCUUUCCAUGCUAUGUGUUGUCCGACCAUCUUUUGAACUUGGCUGAUAACUUCCGACCUUCUUGGAGACCCCUUAUUCACAAACUUCCGCAUUUUACCCUUCCUAUCGGCGAUGAACCCCAAUGUACGUCUGCUGCCCUUACAUGAUGUUGUCCUUUCUUGGCUUAUCUGAUGUCCUUGCCCCUGAGGUUUGUUGUCUUAUCCGCUUGUUGCCCCUGACCUUGAAAUUUAUUGCUCUUCAGCUUAGUCACAUAAAAUAUCUAUUCCCCCUUCAAACCUAAUGCCAUUUCUCUACUGCAUUACUCCAUAGCCGACAUCUACCAAAUUCGCGUCUCGCCAGGAUCCCCAAAGCAUGUUGAUUAUUACUAGCUCAAUGCUCUUUUUUUUUUCUUAACAUGACACUUUGAUAUGCUAGGCAGAUAUUGUUUUGUGCAAUUGGAAAGCUGGUGGAAAAUUUUGAAGUCAUUUCUCACUUGUUAUAACUAAACCGACUCAGAGAGAGAAAGUGAAUGAAACAGAGGAACGGGGUGAAAGAAAAGGAAAGAGAAGAAUCCUAAAGAAAAAACUAUGAAAUAAAAACCUAUCUAACGUGGAUACUAACUCUAAUGACCAUGACAUGCACAUGUAAAUAUUCUGCCAAUCAAACCCGAUUUUCAGCUCUUAUUGUACAUUUUCGCCGUGAAAUUAGGCUUCAAUACUCCGCUUAUCCGAUAUGAUUCUCAUUCCUUAUUUGACUUGUAGUGUCCGAAGGGUUUUCACCAUCAAGUCUCUCUCAUUUUUUCUUUCUCUUAACUUACCAUCGCCUUAAGGUGCCUGUGAAGGUUUUUACCAAUAAGGCUCUCUCAUUUUUAUUUUUCUCAGCUUUUGUCGCCUUGCGGUACCCGUGAAGGUUUUCAUCAAUCCCGCUCUCUAUUUUCUUGCUUGGACUGGAAUGUUGCUCCUGACAUGAAUUACCUUUACCUUCUUGACUUGGCAUUUCUCAAAGACUGAUCGGAAGUUCUUUCUUUGGACUGUAAUGUGGGCUUUUGGAUAGGGUUAGAAAGAAAGGAUAUAAAGGCUCAAAACAAUUCAAAAUGGGGUUAAAACUACAACUUUCCGAAUCUGAUUUCUUUCAACGAUCACAAUUUCUGCCCCUGUUUCUUGCUUGGGGACUUUUGAAAUUUUAUUUUGGUAGAUCCGAUUUCUUUUAACAAUCACAACUUCUGCCCCAGUUUCUUGCUUGGGACUUUUGGAAUUUUAUUUCGGUAUGAUUGAACCUCAAGGAGGUUGCCUACGUACCCUUUCGGGAUCAAGUCAAACGUAGUUCACGCCAUAGCAACUACGUUGUUGUGAUUUUCUUUCUCUCUUUUUUCUGUUUUCUUCAUUUUUCUUUUUUUUCUUCCCUCUCUUUCUUUUCUUUUCUUUUCUCUUCUUUUUUUGUCUUUUCUUUUUCCUUUCUCCCCUUUUUUCCUCUCUUUUUCCUUUUCUCUUUUUCUUUUCCUUCUUCUUUUUUCUUUCUUUCCUUUUCUUUUCCAUCUUUUUCCAUUUGCUUAUCUCUGGCACUUGCAUUUCUUUGAUUGUGGCAUUAAUUCCGAAAGAGGGAUAUGAAAGAAAAUAAAAAUGGCUCAAAAGGUGUGACAAUGGAAAAAGUGUUUCGAUAGCAGAACAAAACGCUUUCGUCAUUUCAACCCUCAAAAUAUGCCAAGUACAAACAGGUACAAUCAAAAUACAGAAACCAUGCACAGUAUCUCUUGACUGCAGCGGAAUUGACGGCCAUUUCCAACACUUUCUUUCUACAUUUGUCUGAUGUAAUGUGCCAUUGGGUCACAUUCUUACUCUUAUUACCACGACCUGCCCCUGUCAAUUUGGCCAACUUGCUUUUGCGGGGAUUUUUUAUGUUUUGCUUGCCCCAGUUUCACAUGGUUCGGGCGUCAAACAAUCUCACAACGUUCAAAUCUAUUCUUAUUUCCUCAAAUACCCUCAUCAUCUUCAGAAUCGUUUCAUUGCUUCCCGACCAACAUGGCUUUAAAAAUCCGACUGAGAACUAUGUGUGCAUGUCAUGUCACUAGAACCAGCAGGAAAAGAAUUGUAUAAAGAAAAGAGAACUAAACAAAAAUGACUAGAAAUGGUAGAAAAGAGAGAAUUGUAUUAAACAUAUGGUGAAAGGGUUUAACAACAAAACAAGUAACACAAACUAGGGUACAAUCCUAAAACAUACCUAGAUAACACUGUAUAAGAUAUGAAAACUAAAGGAACUAGACAAAUAAAAGGAUUGAAGGGUUUGAUUCACAAGACAAUAUUCGGAUUACAACCCUGAAAAUAACCCGGACUACAGAAAUGACAACAACAUAAACUACCAAAACUUCUCUCCAGCUAGCCAAGAGAUGGAGCGUCUUUCCAAUUACCAAGCUCGGCAUCUUAGCCACUGAGUGCUGCAUCAAUAUUCCCAAGAUCAUUACCAACUUCGAUAUCAUCAACUUCGGUCAUCAAGUUCCCAAGAGGAUUCGCAUGCUCCCUAUCAUUGUCAUUAACCACAAUUACCCCUUCUUGAAUCAUUCUUUCUAUUUCCCUUUUCAAAUCCCGACNNNNNNNNNNNNNNNNNNNNNNNNNNNNNNNNNNNNNNNNNNNNNNNNNNNNNNNNNNNNNNNNNNNNNNNNNNNNNNNNNNNNNNNNNNNNNNNNNNNNNNNNNNNNNNNNNCUUUUAGAUGAGUCAAAGCUUCUCGCACGUCGGUCCACCUGAUUUGGAGGAAUGGGUGCAAUCAUGUCAUGUUGUUUUAACUUCUCAAAUAGGCUUGCAUUGGACUCUCCUAUUGGUGUAAAACUAUCUUUCAUCUUUUGUUCCCUUCUAUACCCCUGGCUUGGGUAUGGGUUAUAAGGUACUUGCAAAUUUUGCGGAGGCGGGUAGAGAUUUUGUGAUACUCGUGCUCGCUUUCUUGGGUGAUAUGAUGGUUGGGCAACAUACUGGGAUGGAUCAACAAAGUAUAGGGGGUUCGGAGGUGGAUAGUAAUGCUGAGGGGGGUCAUAGAAAACCUGAUGAGGCUGCACAUACCUUCGAGCUGUUGUCCUAGGACCUUUUCUCGACCCUGAUAUCAUCAUGAUUUUUUCAUCCUUCUCAUCCAUGUUACCAGAUUCAAUUUGGACAGCCUGAGCUGCAGCUUUGAGAGAUGUUUGACAUAUAAUUCUGCCUGUCUUAAGACCGUUCUCCACCAUUUCUCCCAUUUUGACUACUUCCGGGAAGGAUUUACCUACUGCGGACGUCAUGUAUUGAAAAUAAUCUGGCUCUUGAGCCUGUAGAAAGACAAUGAUUAACUCAUGGUCAUCCAUGGGCGGCAUAGCACUAGCUGUCUGCUCUCUCCAUUUGAUGGCAUAUUCCCUGAAACUUUCAGUUGGUUUCUUUUUCAGGUUAGAUAGCUGCCUGCUCUCUCCAUUUGAUGGCAUAUUCCCUGAAACUUUCAGGUGGUUUCUUUUUCAGGUUAGAAAGGGAAAUGCGGUUUGGGGCGAUGUCGAUGUUGUAUUGAAACUGUUUGACAAAGGCCCGUGCCAUGUCAUCCCAGACGUACCAGCGAGAUGUGUCUUGAUCUAAAAACCAUUCAGAUGCUACUCCUGAGAGGCUUUCCCAAAAUACGCUAUAAACAACUUUUCAUUUUCUCUCACACCUCUCAAUUAGCUGCAAUACCUUUUCAGGUGUCUAUGGGGUCUCCAUGUCCAUUUUACUUUUCAAAUUUGGGAAACUUGAAACCAGACGGUAAGUGGACAUCGGGGAACAUGCAUAGAUCUCUGAAGGAAACACUUUUUUGACCUGUCAUUGCUUGCGUGUUUUUCAGAUGUUCUAAUCUUUUCACUCUUUGGGCUAUUUCUUCCUGUACCCUCUGUCGGGCAGGCUUCUUGAUGUUUGCGGGAAGAUCAAACGAGUACGAGUGGUACUCGGUAGAGUGGUACUGUUCUUGCGGUGUAGCAAAUUGUGACUCAUGACAAGGCUGUCCUUAGCCAUUGGCCCAGGCUUGCUGUAUUUAAGUCAUUUUCUAUUUCGAUGUUAUAUUCUCCUCAAACACCGUAGACUCUAGUUGAACCCUCUGACCCUGAGUCUCUUGAGAACUUGUAACAACUUCGAUGUCGGUUAUCAUUUUCCCUCAGAUUUUGUGUUUUAAGCUUACCACAACCAACCACCUCAACAUUUUUCAAUAUUCAAAACAAAACAUGUUAGAAUGGAUUGGGUCGGUCCUCAUUAUUCAAAACAACUUUUCCACUUUUUUUUUUGUUUUUCAUUUUUUUUGGUUUUGGUUGUGGUCGAAUCCUAUGUGGAUUGCCUACGUAUCGUGACCCCGCACGGUUUUUCAUUAUAUUGGUUGUGGUCGAAUCCUAUGUGUAUUGCCUACGUAUCGUGACCCCGCACGAAUCAGACCAGGCGUAGUUCGUGCCAAUAAAAGGUAAACGACAAUAAAAUAUUUUUGGAAUUUUCUAUUUUUAUUAUAACCACAAAAUAUUUUUGGUAUUCACUAGACCACUUAGUUUUUUCUUAUUUUUUCAAAUUAAAAUAAAUGAUCUGAUAUUGCAAACACGACCUUCCAACACCUCGGGGACGAAGAUUUUAGGGCUGUGAGGGUCAAAAAUUAAAAUAUGACCAAAGGUGACUAUUUAUGCAAGGUUAGCCCUCCGGCGUUCCGUUUGGGAACAUUUGGCUAUUUUUGACAAAAACGGCAUCACAUGGUUUAUUUAUGACGUAAAUUAAAAAUUUGACAUUUUUUAUUUUUUGGGCUAUUUUUGUACAGGGGAAGUUGGACCCGAUGAGGGUUGCCUACGUAUCUCACGCCCUGUGAGAAUCAAACCAUGCGUAGUUCGGGCAAAUAAACUAACCAAUUUUAAGGCAAAACUCUAACUUUUCCUAUUUUAUUUUUGAAAUAACAACCCUUUUCCUAUUUUUUCUAAUAAUUUUCCAAAAAAUCUUUUUCUAUUAAAACAACUUCUUUUCUUUUUUCAAAAUUUUGGCAGAGUUUCGGCUGUACUUGGGCAUCAAAUUUUAUCCAAGCAUUAACUCCCUAACUGUUAUUUUCUCUCAUUUUCUCUAUUUUUCUUUUAUCUUUUCUCAAAUUCCGACAUUCCAAUAUUCAAAACAGGUCAACAUGUAGGUUCGAACAAAUAAAUCCAUAGAACAAGUAGGAGGCACUAGGAUGGUCUUUUCAUUUCAAGUUGCUAGCCCUAGACGGACCCAACCCCUAUGUUGAAUCCCCGAAGCCAAAUUCAGCUUGAUCCAAAUAAGCAUUCCUACUAGGGAUCUGGCAUCAAGUCAUGUUAUUCUAGGUUCAAAACCUGGGUCGGUGUUCUAGACAGUGUACCCGAGCAGACAACUCGGAUCAAGGAAGGAGCAACGUACCGGUGACCCGCGCGAUCGUCCGGCUUUGUAACUUGUCUGAUCCUCUUUUUAUUUCAGGGUAUUAAACUAACAGAAUCGGGAGUCUCAACCAGUAAGCACAUCCCCGGAGGUAAAGAGAGAAGGGUGUCGGCACAGUUUAUAUACAUUUCAAAUAAUAUCAAAGCGGUAACAUUUAGCACAUUAAGCAUGAAACAUGUCGGAAAAUUAGAUAUAGCCAAAUACAACAAUUAUUCUAAGCUCGAAUUCUGAACCCUGAAAAAAACGUUCUGGGUCCUUUUCCCCAGCAGAGUCGCCAGAGCUGUCACACCCCCCUUUUUACUAUACACCCCCCGCAAAAGAGGCGUAAAGGAGUUUUUCCAGUUAAAGGAUACUCGGAACAAGAUUUGGUUAUUAAUUAUUCAGAGUCGUCACUUAGGAGAUUAAUGGUGUCCCAAGUCACCGGUUUUAAUCCCGAACCAAGCAAGAUUAUGACUUUGUUAACAGUCCGCGAACCAGAAAUCCGGAUAAGGAAUUCUGUUAACCCGGGAGAAAGUGUUAGGAAUUCCCGUGUUCCGUGGUUUUGGCACGGUCGCUCAACUAUGUAUUUGAUUUUAUCUGAUUUUAAUACACGCUAGCUUAUGUGCCUUUUAUUUACAAACCGCUUUUACCAUUAUUUAUUUUUAAAAGACUUGCGACGUGAUGAAAACACAUCUCUGACCACGUUGCCAUCCAGGCACCCAUGUUCGCAACACCUUUCGACUUCGUCGAGAUUUGGAUUUGGGUCGCAUCAAUACGCACCCGAGUUUAAGGAAGUAAUUUAAUUAAAUCGCGCUUAAAGGUUCUAUCGUAAUAUUGUUUGGAAAAGGCCGUUGAAAUUCGCUAAACGACCCUUCCAAAUACUAAUCAUUUUAAUAAACAAAUAUCUCAACACCUAUUCAACCUCCUUCCAAUAUCACUGAUGAUGUUCUGCCUAUUUCUCAUGAUCCCUUUACUUUUUCAGCACCUACUUCUGCCCCCGAGACUACUGCCCCUUCAGUUGUUCCAAGUCAGUCUUCCCAGCUUAAGUGAAGCGGUAGGCAUCAUACUCUUCCCUCACACCUAAAUGAUUUUGUUGUUCAGCUUCCCCUUCCGUUGUUCAGCUUCCCCUUCCCUUUCUAACUCCACUACUACAUCCCUUUUCGCUGCCCAUAUAGUUUUUUUUGAGCCUUAUUCUUAUAUUCAUGUUGCUUCCAGUUCUUCUUGGCAAGAAGCCAUGAGGAAGGAGUUUCAGGCUCUAGAAACUAAUGGAACUUGGACAAUAGUUGAAUUACCUCAAGGAAUGAAAGCUAUAGAAUGCAAAUGGGUGUAUAAGAUUAAGUAUAAAGCUUAUAGUAGUGUGGAGAGGUACAAGGAAAGGUUGGUUGUUAGGGGUGAUACACAAGUAGAGGGUAUUGAUUUUCAUGAGAUAUUUUCCCCGGUGGUAAUAAUGUGCACCAUUAGAUGCUUAAUUGUUGUUGCCGCUAAAAAGAAAUGGUAUCUCUUUCAAUUGAAUGUCAAUAAUGUGUUUCUUCAUGAUGAUUUUGAUGAGGAAGUGUACAUGAAACUUCUCCCUAUCCUAACAGUUUCUUCUACCAAAAAUUCUGCUUCUCCUCUGGUUUGUAAGCUUCAAAAAUCUCUCUAUGGUUUGAGGCAAAGCCUUUCGACAAUGGUUUGCUAAGCUAUCUCAAGCUCUUUACACUAGAGGUUAACUAAUUCUUUGAAUGAUUACUCUUUAUCAACUUCAUCUACUGUCUUACUUGCUGUUUAUGUUGAUGAUAUAAUUCUUACUGGUAAUGAUCUUGUUGAGAUAGCUGCUCUCAAACAAUUCCUUGAUGGCCAAUUUAAACUAAAGGAUUUAGGCUUGCUCAAUUAUUUUUUGGGUAUUCAAAUUUUGUAAGAUGAGUUUGGGGUUCUUCUCCACAAGAAAAAGUUUACUUAUGAUUUAAUUUCUGAGUUUAGGUGCACUGAUGCUUCAGUUGUAGUAUCUCCUCUUGAGUUGCGUGUUAAGCUGACAUCUGAUCAAGGUGAGGUGUUGUCUAAUCCUCAAUAUUAUAGAAGUUUUAUUGGAAAAUUGAAUUUCCUCACCCACACUCGCCUAGAUUUGUGUUUUGUUUUCCAACAUUUAAGUCAAUUCCUCAAGUCUCCUCGCAUUCCUCGUAUGCCUGCUGCGAUGCAUAUCCUGAGGUAUUUGAAUGGCACACUUGAUGUAGGAGUGUUUCUUAAUGCUUCAUCAGAUUUUUCACUUCAGGCCUUUUGUGAUAGUGAUGGGGCAGCUUGUCAUGAGUCCCGAAGGUCUGGCUCUGGUUUUUGCAUAUCACUGGGGGCAACCUUACUAGCUGGAAAUCAAAGAAGCAUGCCAUUGUUUCUUUAUCCUCAGCAGAAGCUGAGUAUCGAGCUAUGAGUAAAGUUAUGGGUGAACUUGUUUGGUUGGUUCGUUUGCUUGUUGAUUUAGACCUGCCUAUCUCUGCCCCAAUUCUUGUUUUUUGUGGUAACUUUGCUGCAGUUCACAUUGCUAAAAACCAAAUUUUUCACGAGCAUACAAAACAUAUUGAGGUCGAUUUUCAUUUCAUCCGGACUAAGUUGGCUGAUGGUCUCAUUUCUUUGCAUCCUGUUGCUACUUUUUUCUCAACUUGCUGACAUUUUAAAGUGUUUAAUAGGUGGCUAUCAUCGCUUCUUACUUGGCAAGUUCAGAUUUUUGUUCAGUUUUGACCCAAAGUUUGGCCCGCGUGUAUUUACAAAAUUUUGGGUUACCGCCAUGUAAAGAGUAGUGAAUUUACAGUUUUGCCCUAAGUAUAAAUAUAGGUUUUAGAAGACUCUACAUAAAUAAAGAAAUCAGAAUGAAAAAUAUCGAUGCUUUCAUCUGAGUUUUUCUUCUUCUCUCUUUUCUGAAACUAUAUCCAAUUUCACACGAUUGUUAAUCUUCACACAAAUAACGGGCACGUGUUUUGAACUCAAAUACUAUAGCAGUCAUUGAUCAGCCACUCCAGAUUCCAAAUUUUGCGGUAGCCCGAAAAGGAUCCACUCUACUGUCAAUGAUUCCCGAUCAGUUUUUUCAUGUGAAGAGUGUUUGGAUAUUUUAGUUUCAUUUGUCUAGCUCAUAAUUGGAAGUUUCACAAAAUAGGAUCAGUGCAGGAACGACCUCAGUUUACAACAUGUAUGACUACAGGGCUCCAGGUUGUCUUUUGAACAUUAGCUGAUUAACAAGACUAGUCUUAUGAUCUAAACUUGAAGGAAGUACAUAGUUGUACCACAUUUUGAGCUUUUUAGAUGAACUUGUCAAAUAUUUCCUCGUCAUCCUGGUACCACUACUAACAAGUAAUACACCAAGUCCUUUCUUCUUAUUCCAUUAGUUUCAAUUUAUGUGUACCUGUUUGAUUGGACACGAAUUUUAAGAAAAAAUAAAGAUUUUUAGAAUUUGUGGUCCUAAACAAAUUAAAAUGGGCCCAGAAUAUUUGUGUGGUUAUAAAAGUUUCUUAUUAAUGGUAUAGUUGUAGUUUAAGUUAAAUUGUUACUAAAUUUAGAAAAGGUUUCAUUCUUUUUAAAACGGACCAAAAAGUAAAUAGAUUCGUAUAAAUUGAAACAGAAUGAGUAACUUUUUUAUAAAGCGGUACUAUCUCGGUUAUCUUGUGCUUUCGUUAAUUAUGCUAUCGGAUAUUUGUUAUCUUUCACCAUCGGAGAUAUUAUAUAAUAUCUCCACCAAGGAUUCUGUGAUGAAAAAAAAUUCAACUAGCUAGCAUUGGUUUGCCUCAACUAGAAACACUAAUUUCCCAUAAUAUUCAUUCACUUCAUUAACUAUUAAACCACACCUUUAGGUGUUGAUAUCUGACCUCUUAUUUUGUUUUUUAUGAAUGAACGGUAGGUUUAGGCUAGAAUCCCUAUAAAUAUUCCUCUGGGAUUAAAGUCUAGGGGCAAUUCCAUGGGUAUUAGUAUUACUUUGGGAGUAAGGUUUAAGUUUUAUGAUCACAUAUCAUACGUUUUCAAGAUUUACUGACCUCUCUUUCCUUUUUAUAUUGGGACAAACGAUGACCAUUCAUAUAUAUAUGUAUCCUCUUCUAUUUGAUAUAGCUCCAAUUACAGAAAAGAAUCUUUAUAUUGCAGAGGCUGUAAGAGUAGCAGAAAAUACAGCUUUCCUGACAACACCAUGUGACAUGGUUUUAACGGUAUUCAUCAAUACAAAAAAGUUACUGACAUGGUUAAAUAUAAAAAGUUAUGUAGUAUCACAUAAAUUAUAGAGGCAUAUGAUAGAAGUAUUAAACUUUCACAGAAUCUGUUACUCGUGUAGUUUCAUUGCCUUCCCUGAUUGAAGUUACAUUGUUAUCGAGGCACAGAUGUAAGGGGGACGCGUUCUUCCGUUGAUUCAACUGAAUCCAUUGUAAUGGACGCAAACCAUGUGUAUAUAUAUGUAAAAGAAAAGUUAAAAUGUAUACGUAUUACAAGAUCCAAACUCAUCCUGAAACCUAAAUCCUGAAUUUUUCUCUCGGUAAAAGAGAGAGUACUACUAUGAUCUAUCUUCUCUAUAUAAUAAUGGCAGAGAGAAACUUUUGUUGGUCACAAGACCAAUAUCCAUCUCACAAAUAAAGGGUAACUAAUAAGGAGAUGUUGUGGAAAUUUAACUCUGCCAAUAGUAGUGAGUAUGAGUAAUUACGUAGUUUCAAGAAUCUCCAUGCUUGUUCCAGCGGACAAGCAUUCCAAUGCACCUCUUUACAAUAUAAAAUUUUGACUUCUGUUCCUUAGCCAAAUUACUGCAUUUUCGGGUGAAAUUGGUACAUUUUUGGGAUGCACUUUUCGUAAGUCGAGACUUUGAAGAAGAAGUACUCUUUUGUGAAGAACUCCUUGAGAGGGAAGAUCUGUAUGGAUUCUUUUGUGAAUAACUCCUAGGAAGAGGGGGAUUUGAGCUUGGACUCUUUUGUGAAUAGCUCCUAAAUAAUGAUGAUUUUGAGGACGAAUACGAAUGACUACAUGGAUCAUCCUUUGAUAAUUUCCAUUUCUCAUCCAUAUAAUAAUACUCCAUUUUGCUGACAGAACUUUUGGGGAUCUUUUCGUAGAAAUUUAUGAUAGUUCUUCUAUAAUGUAGGGGAGAAAAUGAAAAGGUGGAAAAAGGGUUGAUAACACCAGACAGAUUGACAAUGAAGAGUUGGCAUCUAUUUAUAGCAGUUUGGGACAAUGGUGUAAUUUUGGAAGGCUUUUAAAUCUGAAAUAGGUGUUUGACCAGUGUUUCUUAAUAAUGUGGAAGCAACGCACGUUAAUGCUUACGUCUAAUGUCUGCCAUUUUUCCUAGCUGUAACAUUUUUAUAUUCAGUCUGACCCCUCAUCUACAUUUGAACGGAUUAAAAUGCGACGGAUGAAUAAUUGAAUGAGUCAUAACUCAUUUAAUAUUUUUUUGGAUCAAGGUGGACAAGUCCACUGACUUAAACAAUGGUGACCGAUCAAAAUCAUUUUCCUAUGUCCGGAUGAAUUAGCCGAGUUAUGAGGCUGCAUCACAGAUCUGCAAUUAGCCCAUUUUUAUUUGCCCUAGUGAUGGACGCACAGACGCACCAUAUUCAAGGAGAGGUGCCAUGAUGUAUGUUAUUCGCUGACAGCAUAGUUUUGAUUGAUGAGACGCGAGGUGGUGUUAACGAGAGGCUAAAGAUUUGAAGACAUGCCCUUGAGUUUAAAGAUUUCAAGUUUAGCAGGACUAAGAUAAACUUGUGAAUAGCUCAUUUAAUGUAUUUUUUUUGGAUCAAGGUGGACAAGUCGAUUCGAGUUAAACAAUUAAUGGCUCGCAACUCAAAGACGGCCAACUCCAAAUCAUUUUCCUUCCUAUGUCCGAACGAAUUAACCAAGUUAUAUUUUAGGUGGAGCCGAUUCGAAGCAUUUUUCGGUUGUUAUGGGGCUGCAUCAAGGAUCUGUAAUUAGUCCAUUUUUACUAGCCCUUGGACGCACUGAUGCACUAUAUCAAAGGGAGGUGUCAUGGUGUAUAUUAUUCGCUGACAUAGUUCUGAUUGAUGAGACACAAUGCGGCAUUAACAAGAGACGGGAGGUUAGGAGAUAUGACCUUGAGUCUAUGGGUUUCAAGUUUAGCAGGACCAAGACAGAACACCUUGAGUGCAAGUUCAGUGCUGAGUCGAUUGAAAUGGGCGUGGACGUGAUGCUUGAAUCACAUGUGUCAUCCCCAAGAGAAGCAGUUUCAAGUAUCUUAGGUCGGUUAUACAAGGGGAUGGGGAGAUCGACUAAGCUGUCGCGCAAUGUAUAGGGGUGGAGGUUAGCAUCUGGAGUCCUAUGUGACAAGAAGGUAUCACUGAGGCUCAAAGGUAAGUUCUAUAGAGCGGUGGUUAGACCAGCCAUGUUGUAUGGGACAGAGUGUUGGCCCGUUAAUAACUCGCAUAUCCAGAAAAUAAAAGUAGUAAAAAUAAUGAUGUUAAGGUGGAUAUGCGAGCACACUAGGAUGGGUAUGGUAAGGAAUGACGAUAUCCGGGAAAAGGUGGGUGUCGCCUUGAUGGAUGACAAGAUGCAUGAAGGUAGACUCAAAUAGUUCGGGCACGUGCGGAGGAGAAGUAAAAACGCCCCAGUAAGGAGAUGUGAGCACUUGACUUUGACAAGUAUGAGAAGAGGUAGAGGGCGGUCAAAGAAGUAUUAGAGAAAGGAGAUCAGGUAGGACAUGGCGAGCCUUCAGAUUUUGGAGGACAUGAUGCUUGAUAAGAAGGUGCGGAGGUCUAGCAUUAGGAUUGUACGAUAGGGGAUAGCGGAACUCUUUACUACUCCGUACUGGGUUAGAGGUUAGUCUGAUAGGGUUGUGUCCUAGAAUGCUAGUGAUUAUUGUUGUGUCCACACUUAUCUUUCACUUUUCAUAGUACCAAGACUUUCUUACGUGUUACUGUUAUCAUUUUGCAUUUAUUUUCUGGUACUUACGAUUCUGUUAUUAUUUCUAUGCUUUAUGUUGUUGGUACUGAUAUAUUAUUUUUUUUCUCUAUUUGAGCCGAAGGUCUAUUGGAAACAUCAUCUUUACCCUUGAGGUAAGGGUAAGAUCUGCGUAUACUCUAUCCUCCCAGACCUCACUUAUGAAAUUUUACUAGGUUGUUGUUGGUCUAAAUUUGAAAAUUUUGAAUCUCUGGUUUGGUUCUUGAACCUCUUUCUGGAGAUCAUAAGCUUUUAUGGAGAUGCUGACUACUGUAUGGUGCUCCAUUCGACACUCUUUAACCUAUCCCAUAAUGUGUUUACAUUAUUUUUAUUUCUUUGAGGAGCAAAGACACACGCAUAGUCAUGAGGGAGUGUUUGAUGGUAGAUGGGAAAUGUGACAGAGGAUUUGAAUAUUAGAUAUAUCCUAUUAGUGGUGUUGAAAUUCUACAUUCAUUUCACAAAAUGGUCGGUAGGGGUUAUUAAAUUAUUCAAGAAUUUGCAGUCUUUCACUUUUGUGAUGGACAAUUGGUCAAUUACUGUGGUGAUUUCUGUGAGAUGCUCUUUUUUUCCCUAUCAGAAUCACUGUCACAAACUCUCUGCUAGAUUUCAGUAGACCAUUUAAAGUGGAGUAUCCAAUGUUUAAUACUAGCGUCAUACUUUCUUCGAUAUUUGAAUUAAGGACUUUUCAAAAUGUCAAAGACCUUUUGUCUGCAGCAUAUUUACUGGUGUGAAUUGGUUCAGCUGAUGGUUCACACUUAAUAUUUGGUUAUAGCAUAUUAGUUAUGUUUCUAUCAAAUUCUCAAUCUUUAAUCAAUAGAGAUUUACAUGUUAUUAGUUCUUUAUAAGAUCCCUUAUUGUGUACACAAUUUUUAUACUGUUCAAAAUGUGGUAAAAGCUUUAAGAACAUAUUUUUUUAAGUACUUUCCAAAAUAAGGUAAAAGUUUUUAUGUUAGAAUUUCCUUUUGGUUGGAAUGAAAUUCCUUGUUUCUUGCCUCCAAUUUUUAGUUCUGCCAAGUAUUACUUGAUGAUCAUACUCCAUAUAGAUGAGAAUUAAAUAAUUAAUUUCAAUUUGGCAUCGCCAGAAGAUUACUUAAUUGAGUGUAGGACUUUUUCCAUGGGUAAAUUUAUCAGGGGAAGCGGUCAAUGUUCUUUCUUGCACAUGCACAUAUAUGGCGCUGUACUCAGAACUCAGUAAGUAUCAAUUUUCAAAUUAUGCAAUAGUUAUGUAUAGGCUCCUCAAUUUGAAAACUUUAUUAGGCAGCUGAGCUUAUCGCAAAUUCCAUAAAACUCAUAUAUAGAAUAUUCAUAAAAAGAUCAUGAUAUCAAAUAUUGUCUUUGUUAAAUUUUAAGUAAUCAAGAAAUAUUUUCUUCAAAAUCAACUCAAAAUGCGAUAAGGCCUAUAUUCUUGACAACCAAAUAUUCAAGAAGAUCCACACAAACCCUUCGCUCAAGAAAUACUCCACUUUGGCCCUCAAUUUAGAAAACAAGAAGGAAAAUCAAAGCGAGUUGUUGCUCGUGAUCGUCCAAAACACUAUUUUCUUUCUGGAGGUCAAUUACAACCCAAAAGUAGUAUGCAUCAUUCAACGUUCGAGAAACACAUUGCUUCGGCCCUAGAAUCACAUAGAAUUGGGGUAGAAGAAAAAAAAAAUUUGUAUCAAUCAGGCUUUUUGUAUUGCUUUUGUUGGUUUCUUUGUUGGAUAGCCUCGUGUUCAUGUUAGUUUUAUAAGCACCUAGUCUAAUUCAAUCAAUAUAUAUCCGUUGCAUUCCAUUGGUACUAGUACUAACAAACUUUGUUAUCACUGUUUAUGCAGAUCAUGAAUUUAAAGUCCUUUAUCUAGAAUUUGGACUUUUGCUCUCCCAUAACCUUUCUCCUACUUAUGUACUUCACUGAUCAUUAAAUUACACCCCUAAGCACCUUAUAUGAUGAUUUAAUUAAAGAAGCAAUUUAAGUGCUCUUAACCUAAAUAUAAGUUUUAGAAUAAUGGUUAAGAAAUUUCUAAAUAACAAAUUUAGGAACUUCUUUAAGGUAAUUUCAACUUAAUUUAGAGUAAAUAAUGAUAUUCGACUUAUAGUAUGUAAAUUUAUAUGCAUAUUGCCUCACAUUUUACUAAUAUUUAAUGAAUUUUUGGAUGUAAAAUGAAAUGAUUUAUUGUAAUUCAAAGUAUUUGUAUGUGUAGGAGUCACCCGAAUGCA
This 15973-nucleotide long non-coding RNA is filed under the name Nicotiana benthamiana. RNAcentral's name for it is "long non-coding RNA (NBEN_LNC006560)". The record is from RNAcentral. Lineage: Eukaryota; Viridiplantae; Streptophyta; Magnoliopsida; Solanales; Solanaceae.